RNAcentral lists this long non-coding RNA (6056 nucleotides) under Homo sapiens (human). RNAcentral describes it as "non-protein coding lnc-NEFL-1:3". Lineage: Eukaryota; Metazoa; Chordata; Mammalia; Primates; Hominidae. The record is from RNAcentral.
CUGGGCCGGCGGGACUUUGACGCUGGCGGCACUUUGCCUUUCUCCCGCCCUCCCCACCCGGCUGAUACCCCGGAGGCUGGGUCCCGGGGGUCCGGCUCCCGACAGAGGGCUGCGCUGGAGGAGCCGGGCACGCCCAGGCCGGGCGGCCGGUGGGCGAGGGAUGCGGGCUGCGCUCCCACGGCGCGCGCCGGACACUUGGGGAGCGGAAACGGAUCAGCGAGAGCGGCUUCUUGCUCGGGGCACCUCCGGUGCCUGGCACUAAGCGGGCGCGCAAUAAAUAUUUGUUGAAUGAAUGAGCAGUUGACUUCUGCCUUCACCCCCUGGAGCUUGAACCCGCGCCGCGAGCGGGAGAAGCCGGACUCAGGGCAGACUGAAUCUCCCGGGGCCACCGCUUAGAGCCUGGAAAGCAGAACUUUUAUCACCGGAGAGCUGGUGCAAGGGAGGUGGGCUCCUCAGAAGUAUCAGACCGUUUGCUAGGGGAUCCUCUGCAGGGAAAUUGUUUAGAAAGCCCUAAUUUGGAAGUCCUGUAUCCCCAAACUCCGGGGACCCCCCAACCUUAAGCUGAAGAAACUUAGACCCUCAUGCCCAGACCUCCCUUUCCCAACCAGCCAGCAGCCCAGAGAGCAUUCCCGUGGAGAAAGGGCCAAGGCGCAUCCCCGUCUUUUCUCCGUCAACGACUGCCUUUUCUUGACGAAGAUCCCAAAGGGGCUGCGCAUUUGAACCGCCUUGGGCUCCAGGUGGCGCCCUCUCUGGAGCUCCCCUCUUGGAAUUCAUUUCUUCCUGGAGAGACUUGGAGAAUGAAGAUCCAGGGGUUUCUCCCUACCUUGUACCGAGAAGUAACAUUGCAAGUAGAGUAAAUGACCAGCUUAAUUACGUUCACCUUCGAAGAAGAUUCCUCUAGAGAGAAAUUAUAUCCUCCUUGCAGCCUGUGAAGGUUUUCAUGCGUUUUAGGAAUAUAAAAGAAAGGAAGACAAACAUGUAGUAAAGAUAGUAAAGACAGGUAGUUGGCCAGGCGUGGUGGCUCAUGCCUGUAAUCUCAGCACUUUGGGAGGCCGAGGCGGGUGGAUCACCUGAGGUCACGAGUUCCAGACCAGCCUGGCCAACAUGGUGAAACCCCUUCUCUACUAAAAUACAAAAGUUAGCCAGACGUGCUGGUGUGCUCAUGUAAUCCCAGCUACCCAGGAGGCUGAGGCAGGAGAAUCGCUGGAACCCGGGAGGCAGAGGCUAUAAGUGAGCCGAGAUCGCGCCACUGCACUCCAGCCUGGGCAACAGGGCAAAACUCCGUCUAAAAAAAAAAAAAAAAAAAAAAGACAGUAAAGAUAGAUAGGCAAACAAGGUAACAAGAUAGUAAAGUUUCAUUGGAGAAUUAGUGCAUUUUAACUUUGGUGGUUUUUUACCAAACGAGGUCUGAAAUUUUUUUUAAGUCCUAUUCACGGUGGGUAACUACUAGAGCUGGCUUUUUUUUUCUCCAUCAACCAAUAGGUAUUUAUUCACAAUGUUUAACAAUAAUUUAAGAAAUUCCUCUGUCACUUUAGACUUGACAUCCAGAAAGAAUUCCACCAUCUUCCCUAAAAUAAUUUAUCUUCCUCCAUUAGUAUAUCAUGAUUCUAAUUUCCCAGGUUAGGUAAUUUCUUCUUCCUUCUUCACACACAUAUUAAAUGCCUACACGUUAAGUGCCAGGCAUCACUCUAAGAAUGAGGGUGCAGCGGUGAAUACAGUAGAAUGUGUCCCUUCACAGAGCUUCUAGUCUAGACGGGGAGAGUAAGACAGUAAAGAAAUGUACACCAAACGAGAGUAAACAUUAGAGAAAAAUCCAAAGCAGGGAGGAUAGGGCGUGUAGGGUGCUGCUGUUUUUAUGGAGUGGUCUGGGAAUGCAGCUCUGCUAAGCUGAGGUUGAGGUGUAGACCUGAAGGAAGUGAAGAUUCCGGGAGAAAGUAUUCUGGAAAAGAGGAACAGCAAAGGCAAAGGACACCAAGCGUGUUUGGCAGGUUCCCAGGUCACCCAGAGAUCCUAGGUAAUGAGAGCUGAGUAACAGGUGAGAGGAAACUUGGUCUAAGAGGCAGAGGAAUGCCAGAUAGAGCAGAACCCUGGCAGGCAUAUGGACUUUAUAUAUUACUACUACAAGCGAGGUUUGGAGGGCUUUGAGCCAACCUGGAACAUAUUGAACUUGCCUGCUGUGGUAUGAAUCCAUUGUAAAGGGGCAAGGGAGGCCCACAUGGAUGGAUGUUGGGGGCUAUUUCAGUCAUUCAGGCAAGACAUGAAGGUAGUUGGGUCCAGGAGGAUAAGGAUGGAGGUGAAAAAGAUGUUGGGUUCUUGACAUACGUGAAAAUAGAGCCUGGCCAGAUGUGGUGGCUCACACCUGUAAUCCCAGCAUUUUGGGAGGCUGAGGUGGGAGGAUUGCUUAAGGUCAGGAGUUCAAAAUCAGCCUGGACAACAUAGUGAGACCCUCCUCUACUAUAUAUAUAUCCUGGGCAUGGUGGCUGUGCCUGUGGCCCUAUCUACUCAGGAGACUGAGGUGGGAGGAUUGCUUGAGCCCAGGAGGUCGAGGCUAGCAGUGAGCUAUGAUUGCAUCACAGCAUGAAAAAGAACCAAGAGGAGGGCCACAUGAACGGCAGGGGGAUCUACUACUGUGAGGCUUCAAUCUUUUUUGGAAAGUUUUCCCCCAGAAAGAGAUAUGCUUGUAUUUUUCUUUUUUUUUUUAAAGAGCCCUACCCGUAUCGUACACCCUUCAGGCCCCACACACCUUGGUUCUUGUCCCUGCAUGUGAGAUACAAGCUGGGUCAAGAAUGACUCUAAAGCCAGCUAGGUCGCACAUGCCUGUAGUCCCAGCUGCUAGGGAGGCUGAGGCAAGAGGAUUGCUUGAGCCCAGGAGUUCCAGGCUGCAGUGAGCUAUGCUGAUCAGGUGUCUGCACUAAGUUCCGCAUCAAUAUAGUGACAUCCUGGGAGCAGGCGACCACCAGGUUGCCUAAGGAGGGGUGAACUGGUCCAGGUCAGAAAUGGAGCGGGUCAAUUAUUUGGAAAGCCCUAAUUUGGAAGUCCUAUAUCCCAAAACUUCGGUACUCCUCCUUAGCUGAAGAAAUUCAGGCCCACAUAUCCAGGGGGAAAUCUACCCCAAGACCUCCCUUUUCCAACCAGCCAGCAGCCCAGAGAGCAUCCCUGUGUAGAAAGCAACUGGAUGCAUCCUUGUCUUUUCUCUGUCACUGACUGCAUUAUUGACAAAGAUCCCGUAGCCGGGACUUCACAUUUGAACUGCCUCAGGCUCCAGGUGGCACCCUCUCUUGAGCUCCCCUUCUGAUCAAUAAUGGGAUGGCACCUGUGAAUUGGCACUGCAUUUCAGCUUGGACAACAUAGCAAGACCCUGUCUCUAAACAAAUAUUAAUUCAAAACAAAAAGAGUGACUCUAAGGUUUGGGGCUUGAAUAGCAAGGGAGUAGAGUUGCCAUUGUCUUGGUCACCAUUUAUAUCUAUCUUGUCUUCACCCUUUCCUGUCCCAGUUGCUCUGUAUCAAAGUUUUCCUUUCAAUAUUUCUUUAGGACCCACUUCUUCACGCCUUCCUCAGCAACUUCUCCAUGUGGCCCCUUAGGAGCUAAAGCGCUCUGCACUGGAUUAUAUGACUUGCCUGUUGUGGACUCAGGGCUUCUCAAAGUUACAUGAAUUCUCCGUGCUUAGGGAAAUUGGAUGACCUCUGUUCUCUGACCAAAGAUAAAAGAAGAUUAUUCUGUGAUCCUAUACGAGUCAGUGGCUAAUGGAACUACCAAAAAAAUGAUAACAAUGCAAAUAAUGUAAUUGGUUCUAAGCAGUGCUUUGCAGGCUCCUAAGGAUGGUUCUAAGUAAGCCAGGAGUAGGUGAUACAUUGUAAUUCUGGGACCCAUGAGCUUAGCAGGACAAAGGAAACCAUGAAUCACCCUAGUCCCAGAAGUACCUUUUCAUAGGCCCCAGGGAUUCCAACAUCAUUAUUCACUCUCCACUCUGCAAGUGACUUAGGUCGUGAGCAUCUCUGAGUCUGCACAGGCUCUGCCAUGUGGCUGUGGGGGUCCGGCUUCUCUGAUGGAUGGGAAGAUAAUGCUCGGGGCUCCAAUGCUAUUAUCUCCUCAUCUCUGUCACAAGGAGAUUUAUACUUAUGAUUUACCCUUUUCAUGAACAUGGGAAAAUUCUUUUUUCUAGUGUUGUUUCUGGAAUGUUCUUUGCUGUGUCUAAAUGAGCUGAUUCCACUGUUGGGAGAGGUGGAUGAUGUGAGCAGUAAGAAGGCAUUAGUUUCUUGAAAACUAGAUCCAUAUUUAGGUGAGAUGAAAUCAAACUACCUGAUUUUAAAAAAAACAAACUAUGUUUAUUUACCGUAUGUCUUGAUUCCUAUAUACAUUGAAAAAUUAUAUUCAUAAAACUGUUUAAAAUAAGAGAUGAUGGGCUGGACGCAGUGGCUCAUGCCUGUAAUCUCAGCACUUUGGGAGGCCAAGGCGGGCAGAUCACUUGGGCCCAGGAGUUCGAGACCAGGCUGGGCAACACGGCAAAACCCUGUUUCUACAAAAAAUGCAAAAAUUACCAGGGUGUGGUGGUGUGUGUCUGUAGUAUCAGCUACUCAGGAAGCUGAGGUAGGAGGAUUCCUUGAGCCCAGGAGGUGGAGGUUACAGUGAGCUGAUGUGGCACCAUUGCAUUCCAGCCUAGGUGACAGGGGGACCCUGUUCCCCCUGCCAAAAAAAAAAAAAAAAAAAAAAAAGAACAAAAAGAGAGAUGAUGAAAACUUAGAAGAAAUGUGGAAAAUGUAUAAUGUAGGCAUAAAUGAAAAUAAUUAGAUUGUCUAUGCCGCAAAAUGAUUGUAGCUAUAGAAAGUCAUAGAUUUACAGGGAAAAUGACCAUAGAAGAACAUGAAUAAAUGACAAAUUUUAUUCAACCUUCUUCAAAACAAAAUAAAGAAAAAUACUUGAUUGCUGAAGUCUCUGGGCUAUGUAGCAAGAGUAGGAAGUUAUUUGCCUAAAUCUGAUCAUUUUUUGUGACAAGAGUGAAGUUUCACUCUUCAGUUCCUUGGGCACACGGACACUAUGACUAUCUUGUUUAGACGACUGUCAUAUUCAGCAGAUUUUUCUUCCUGUUUGUGGUCAGUUAAGAAAACAAGCAUUUAAUCCAGAACUUGUAUUUAAUACCAGAACGAUUUUAUUUUUUCACAGCCACCAACUGUAAAGUAACAAUAAUAACUGCGUAUGAAGUAAUGAGUACUGGCUCCAAAUCACCUUGUUUAAUCCCCAUACAACCUAAUGAGGUAAAUAUAACUCUCCGGUCAUUCCCACCUCACAAAUGUGGCUUAGGAGGUGUCCAGAAAUUACCUACAUAAUUAAUUAGUGGCAAAAUAAAAUCCAGACCCAGACAGCCUGACUCCAGGGUCCAUGCUCUAAAGCAGAGGUCUGCAAGCUUUUGCUAUAAAGGCCCCACUAUGGAUAGUUCCCAGGCUUUGCAGGCCAUAUGGCCUUGUUGCAACCACUCAACUCUGCAGUUGUAGCAGGGAAGCCUCUAUGAGCAAUACAUACAAUGAAUUGAGUGUGGUUGUGUCCCAGUAAAACUUCAUUAGUUGUGUUAGAUCAAGUUUAGACUAAACCUGCCUCCUUACAUAUUUUAAGUUCAGCCUAAAGGUUUCUCUGUACAUAGCGAACUAUAAUCUCAAUGGAAGUGUAAACAGACCAAAACCUAUUCUUGUGCCAAUCACUGAGUUUUGGCCAAUCAGAGGAGGCAAACUGUUAAAACUGUCUUCAAAUAAGGUAAACGCCCAGCUGCUGAGCUGUAACCAAUCCGCCUGUUUCUGUACCCCAUUUCCGUUUUCUGUACCUCAUUUCUGUUUUCUGUACAUCACUUUCCUUCUUCUGUUAUAAAUCGUCUUCCACCACGUGGCUGCACUGGAGUUGCUGAGCCUACCCCGGCUCAGGAGGCUGCCUGAUUCUCAAGUCGUUCUUUGCUCAAUUAAAGUAUGUUAAAUUUAAUUUGGCUAUGGUCUUUCUUUUAACAGUAGAUUUGAAAUUUGAAUUUCAUGUAUUUUUAUGCAUAUGAAAUAUUAUUCUGGCCAGGUGCAGU